GUCGAACGAGAUUAGAGACUUCGCGUUUCUAUGAAAGUGGCGCACGGGUGCGUAACACGUAUGCAACCUACCUUCAAUUGGGGGAUAGCCUUCCGAAAGGGAGAUUAAUACCGCAUAAGAUAUCAGAAUGGCAUCAUUUAGAUAUUAAAACUUUGGUGAUUGAAGAUGGGCAUGCGUUGCAUUAGCUAGUUGGUAAGGUAACGGCUUACCAAGGCUACGAUGCAUAGGGGAUCUGAGAGGAUGGUCCCCCACACUGGUACUGAGAUACGGACCAGACUCCUACGGGAGGCAGCAGUAAGGAAUAUUGGUCAAUGGACGGAAGUCUGAACCAGCCAUGCCGCGUGCAGGAAGACGGCCCUAUGGGUUGUAAACUGCUUUUGUCGGGGAAUAAACCUAGAUACGUGUAUUUAGUUGAAGGUACCCGAAGAAUAAGGAUCGGCUAACUCCGUGCCAGCAGCCGCGGUAAUACGGAGGAUCCAAGCGUUAUCCGGAUUUAUUGGGUUUAAAGGGUGCGUAGGCGGUAAAUUAAGUCAGAGGUGAAAGCCUGCAGCUCAACUGUAGAACUGCCUUUGAUACUGGUUUACUUGAGUACAGAUGAAGUGGGCGGAAUGUGACAAGUAGCGGUGAAAUGCAUAGAUAUGUCACAGAACACCGAUUGCGAAGGCAGCUCACUAAAGUGUAACUGACGCUGAGGCACGAAAGCGUGGGGAUCAAACAGGAUUAGA
This 725-nucleotide ribosomal RNA is filed under the name Solitalea canadensis. RNAcentral describes it as "bacterial SSU rRNA". It matches the Rfam family "Bacterial small subunit ribosomal RNA", at positions 61 to 782 of the family's 1533-position model. Lineage: Bacteria; Pseudomonadati; Bacteroidota; Sphingobacteriia; Sphingobacteriales; Sphingobacteriaceae. The record is from RNAcentral.